This 78-nucleotide non-coding RNA is filed under the name bovine gut metagenome. Its description in RNAcentral is "TPP riboswitch (THI element)". The stretch from base 4 to 72 matches the Rfam family "TPP riboswitch aptamer (THI element)", at positions 8 to 91 of the family's 105-position model. Rfam says of the family: Vitamin B(1) in its active form thiamin pyrophosphate (TPP) is an essential coenzyme that is synthesised by coupling of pyrimidine and thiazole moieties in bacteria. The previously detected thiamin-regulatory element, thi box was extended, resulting in a new, highly conserved RNA secondary structure, the THI element, which is widely distributed in eubacteria and also occurs in some archaea. Analysis of operon structures identified a large number of new candidate thiamin-regulated genes, mostly transporters, in various prokaryotic organisms. The record is from RNAcentral.
GCGUCCGGGGGUGCCGUUAAGGCUGAGAUUAAACCCCAGAACCUGAUCCGGAUAAUGCCGGCGGAGGGAGGAUUUCAU